GGAUUGUAGCUCAGUGGCAGAGUGCUUGCCUAGCGUGUGUGAGGCACUGGGUUUGAUCCUCAGCACCA
This 68-nucleotide transfer RNA is filed under the name Marmota monax (woodchuck). RNAcentral describes it as "tRNA.Ala". Lineage: Eukaryota; Metazoa; Chordata; Mammalia; Rodentia; Sciuridae. The record is from RNAcentral.